GGAGAUUGUACUUCCAUGAGCAGCCUCUUCCAGUGCUGAAUGGUUCUAAUCCCGAAGAAUGUCUUUUUAACAUGCAGGUGGAAUUUUCCCUGAAGCAACUUGUACCUGUUGCCACUUGUCCUGUCACUGCGCACACGCGAGAGAAGAGUACAUCCAGCUUCCCUGGAGCUACUCUUUCAGGUACUGGAAGACUGUGAUUAGAUAUCCCCAAGCCUAAUCCUCUCUAGGCUGAACAAACUCCCUUCCACUGAUCUUUCUUCUAGGGAAAGAUCAGCAAUUUUUUUUCCUUCAGGAAAAAAAAAAAAUCAAGCUUUCAAAGUAAACAACUUUCAAUCUUGUGGAGUGCACACAUGGGUCAGACAUGAGCUCUGUGAAUAAGUGUGUGCAUGGGAGAGAAGGAAAAAAGGAAAAGUUGCGCUCUGAGUGAGCUGGAUGCUGAAUUAUAUUUAAUGGUUUACAGUCCCUGAAGACACCAUGUGGGGUGAUGCAGAAUAGCAGAGAGAUGCAAUGGACUCCACAGCAGCAGAUCAGAAUAGACCAAGUCUACAAGAUGCAGGUCGUGUAUGGGGCUCCCAGACAGCCGCUUUGCAGCUCUCAUUUCCCUUUUUGCAGUCACUUUGGAUGGAAGACGCAUAUCAGCAGUUUCACAACACAAAAAGACAGUAGGAGAGAUGAUAACAAUUAUUUGUUUAUGGACCUUCCAAGUUUGUUUCCUGGAAGUAAACCACGUAAAGACCAGAAAAUAUAGUCUACAAAUGUGAAAAUGCUGUAUCAGAUUUCUUAGAUUUGUUUAUCUUAAUGCUCAGCUUGCAAGUUAUCUAUAAUUUUUUAAUUCAGAUUGGGAAAUCUGUAACCAAGCAAGGAAAUAUUCUACUACUUACUACAAAAGACAGGUAACAGCAGAGUAAACAGAAAAAAAAAUGUAUAAAACCAAAUAUCUCCUUAAUUUAGAAAACAGAUAGGCAGAACAUCUAUUGUGUCAUAGCCAAUAACUUGUAGAAGCCAAGUAAAAAUUUAAAAUCUACUCCAGUCAAAAGUUCCAGAAGAAUUACUUUUUUUUUCCCUCUUAAUAGGCUUCAACAAUGGCAAUAAGAAAAUGGUAACUAGACCACAAGAAAGAAUUAUAGAGAUAGCAUUAGGAUCUGUUCAACAUUAAGCUGUAGAAUAGAACCAAGGAUUUUGUACAUGAAAACGCUACUGCUAACAUUGCAUGAAAAGAAGAAAAUAUUCCAGAACUUGUCGCUCACUUAGAAAGUUUAUUCUGAUUAACAGAAGGAGUAGGACUAAAAUGAAGAACCCAGGAUGCUUCUUUGUUAAUAUAAUAAGGGUAGACUUCUGAUGUUCAUUGUGCACAAUGCCUAUUAUGAUUAUUAAUAAAAAGGCUGCAGGGACUCA
Molecule: long non-coding RNA, 1395 nt
Filed under: Numida meleagris (helmeted guineafowl)
Lineage: Eukaryota; Metazoa; Chordata; Aves; Galliformes; Numididae
Description: lncRNA (ENSNMEG00000020539.1)
Source: RNAcentral